CCUACGGGCGGCAGCAGUGGGGAAUAUUGCACAAUGGGGGAAACCCUGAUGCAGCGACGCCGCGUGAGUGAAGAAGUAAUUCGUUAUGUAAAGCUCUAUCAGCAGGGAAGAAAAUGACGGUACCUGAGUCAGAAGCCCCGGCUAAAUACGUGCCAGCAGCCGCGGUAAUACGUAGGGGGCCAGCGUUAUCCGGAUUUACUGGGUGUAAAGGGAGCGUAGACGGCAGUGCAAGUCUGGAGUGAAAGGCGGGGGCUCAACCCCCGGACUGCUCUGGAAACUGUACGGCUGGAGUGCAGGAGAGGUAAGUGGAAUUCCUAGUGUAGCGGUGAAAUGCGUAGAUAUUAGGAGGAACACCAGUGGCGAAGGCGGCUUACUGGACUGUAACUGACGUUGAGGCUCGAAAGCGUGGGGAGCAAACAGGAUUAGAUACCCGUGUAGUC
RNAcentral lists this ribosomal RNA (440 nucleotides) under uncultured bacterium. Its description in RNAcentral is "partial 16S ribosomal RNA". It matches the Rfam family "Bacterial small subunit ribosomal RNA", at positions 338 to 795 of the family's 1533-position model. The record is from RNAcentral.